AAAAAAUACAACUAUACCUUAUUUUGUAAUGGCAAAAUAAUAAUAUUGACAUCAUAUUGACUAGUGCAUUAGAUCACAAAGCAUCAAUGUCAAUCUACAUGUCAGGGACACGUGUCAUCCAUAUAAGUGCUUAUUUCAAGACAUGAAAUAUUUGUCUCUGACAUUCUCACUUUUAAAAUGUCUAAAUACCUAUUAGAUAGAAAAGGUACAGUACACACUGGGAAUAGCACACCACAGCCAAAACAGAUACAAGUAAAUUUACAGUUUUUCUCGAUUGCUUUCUCGAUGCUGAGUAACCUGUACAUUUGCUACAUUUGGAAAUGAAGCUUUUGGAAAAUGGGUAUUUUAUUGUGCAUGGACUCUUCCUUACAUGUUUUGUCAGUGUGACAUUUCAAAGGUCAGGUUUUUGACCAAAACAGCAUAUACAUUAGUAUUCCCUUAUCCACUAAUGUACGAGGUAUUUAUUACAGUAGUAUUCCCUUAUCCACUAAUGUACGAGCUAUUUAUUACAGUAGUAUUCCCUUAUCCACUAAUGUACGAGCUAUUUAUUACAGUAGUAUUCCCUUAUCCACUAAUGUACGAGCUAUUUAUUACAGUAGUAUUCCCUUAUCCACUAAUGUAUGAGCUAUUUAUUACAGUAGUAUUCCCUUAUCCACUAAUGUACGAGGUAUUUAUUAGUAGUAUUCCCUUAUCCACUAAUGUACGAGGUAUUUAUUAGUAGUAUUCCCUUAUCCACUAAUGUACGAGGUAUUUAUUAGUAGUAUUCCCUUAUCCACUAAUGUACGAGGUAUUUAUUAGUAGUAUUCCCUUAUCCACUAAUGUACGAGGUAUUUAUUACAGUAGUUUUCCCAUAUCCACUAAUGAACGAGGUAUUUAUUACAGUAGUAUUCCCUUAUCCACUAAUGUACGAGGUAUUUAUUACAGUAGUAUUCCCUUAUCCACUAAUGUACGAGCUAUUUAUUACAGUACUGUUUUGAAGUUCUCUCGCCAGGGUGUUCCUGAAAAGAUUAUCUGGAUAGUCAGUGCUGUGAUUUUACAAAGUUCAACAUAAUUGAUCUGAAAACCUAUUCUAAACAUUUUGGUAGCAGUAUUUUGAAUAAAUCCCUCCAGUGUGUAACAAACAGUCAUGGAGUCUGUUUUUGACAGUUUGUGUGUGUUGUCUGAGGGCAAAGUUUGAAUUGGGACCCAGAAGUUAGAUGUUUGUACCGUUGGGUGUGAGUUUUUUACAAUUGUGUGUGAAGAUUUGAGAAAAUGGUGAGUUGUUCCAGGAAUUGUGUCUAAGCAAUUGAGAAACUGUAAAAGGGAUAAUCCACCCCGAGAAAUGAAACAGGUCAAUUUCGUGAAAGCCUAUGUUCAAUCAGUGGAUAAAAAAAUGUUUCCCUCAUGAUUAAAAUUUUAAGUGGUGCGUCUGCGAAACCAGGAAAUCAUGUAGGAACGCGUCAUAGCUACACGGUUCUCAUCACUGUAUAUAGUGUGUUUUCUCCUUCAAGUACCAUAAUGCAAUGUGUGUCUGUGGGAAACGUGGGAAAAAGGCAUCGUCCUCUGCUCUCGCUUGGUGAGAGAGCCUCCUAAAUUGAUAAUGUAGUUUGUUUACGUGAUUUUUAAAGCUACAGUGCCUUGCGAAAGUAUUCGGCCCCCUUGAACUUUGCGACCUUUUGCCACAUUUC
Oncorhynchus tshawytscha (Chinook salmon) is the source of this 1667-nucleotide long non-coding RNA. The record is from Ensembl. NCBI's taxonomy places the organism in Eukaryota, Metazoa, Chordata, Actinopteri, Salmoniformes, Salmonidae.